Molecule: long non-coding RNA, 539 nt
Filed under: Homo sapiens (human)
Lineage: Eukaryota; Metazoa; Chordata; Mammalia; Primates; Hominidae
Description: HSALNT0307163
Source: RNAcentral
AAGCUGCGAAGAUGGCGGAGUAAGGUGUGCUGCUGUAAACUGGCCUCUGGGCUGGGGGUGGGCAGCCCCCGGGAGGCCGAGUGCAUCUGUUGGACUGUGCGAGGAGAAGAAAAAACAGGGAUCGGCCAGAGGAAAGGAACUAACCGAACAGUCUUCGUCCCUACCUUACAGUGGGCAGUACUCAUCUACGCUAAAGCAAAGUGUCAUGUGUGUCCGUAUGAAGAGACCACCAAACAGGCUUUGUGUUCCUUAUCACAGGAAGAAAAUUUUCCUUGACCUUUAGGUGCUUUUAUAUUCAUCUCAAAAGCAAAAUUCUGAACUCAGGACUUGGCAAGUGUCUCUAUGCUGUCUCCUAGAGUGGGUAGUCCUGCUUCUUUUACCCAGUUACCUUCCCUAUUCUUGAAAUGUGGCUAUCACUUCUCUACACGUUACCUCCAUGAUUUGGAAUGGAAAGGCCACUUUCCUUUUUGUUCUGCCUCUCAAAUUCAACACAGAGGAGCUCUUUUCAUUCCAAGCAAGAAGACUAAAGAAGUAGCAAG